Molecule: unclassified non-coding RNA, 351 nt
Filed under: soil metagenome
Description: partial contains 5.8S ribosomal RNA, internal transcribed spacer 2, and large subunit ribosomal RNA
Rfam family: 5.8S ribosomal RNA (bases 1-120)
Source: RNAcentral
GAUGAAGAACGCAGCGAAAUGCGAUAAGUAAUGUGAAUUGCAGAAUUCAGUGAAUCAUCGAAUCUUUGAACGCACAUUGCGCCCGCCAGUAUUCUGGCGGGCAUGCCUGUUCGAGCGUCAUUACAACCCUCAGGCCCCCGGGCCUGGCGUUGGGGAUCGGCGGAGCCCCCCGUGGGCACACGCCGUCCCCCAAAUGCAGUGGCGGUCCCGCCGCAGCUUCCAUCGCGUAGUAGCUAACACCUCGCGACUGGAGAGCGGCGCGGCCACGCCGUAAAACACCCAACUCUUCUGAAGUUGACCUCGAAUCAGGUAGGAAUACCCGCUGAACUUAAGCAUAUCAUAAGCGGAGGA